UGAGGAAUAUUGGGCAAUGGGCGAAAGCCUGACCCAGCAACGCCGCGUGAAGGAAGAAGGCUUUCGGGUUGUAAACUUCUUUUCUCAGGGAUGAAUAGAUGACGUUACCUGAGGAAUAAGCCACGGCUAACUACGUGCCAGCAGCCGCGGUAAUACGUAGGUGGCAAGCGUUAUCCGGAUUUACGGGGUGUAAAGGGCGUGUAGGCGGGAGUGCAAGUCAGAUGUGAAAACCACGGGCUCAACCUGUGGCCUGCAUUUGAAACUGUACUUCUUGAGUACUGGAGAGGCAGACGGAAUUCCUAGUGUAGCGGUGAAAUGCGUAGAUAUUAGGAGGAACACCAGUGGCGAAGGCGGUCUGCUGGACAGCAACUGACGCUGAGGCGCGAAAGCGUGGGGAGCAAACAGG
Molecule: ribosomal RNA, 406 nt
Filed under: uncultured bacterium
Lineage: Bacteria
Description: bacterial SSU rRNA
Rfam family: Bacterial small subunit ribosomal RNA
Source: RNAcentral